This 94-nucleotide microRNA precursor is filed under the name Canis lupus familiaris (dog). RNAcentral describes it as "mir-544 microRNA precursor family". It matches the Rfam family "mir-544 microRNA precursor family". RNAcentral also lists the same sequence under 2 other names. Lineage: Eukaryota; Metazoa; Chordata; Mammalia; Carnivora; Canidae. The record is from Rfam by way of RNAcentral.
UUCACCUGGGAAUCUUGUUAAAAUGCAGAUUCUGAGUAAGUCUGAGGUAGGGCCUGAGAUUCUGCAUUUCUAACACACUCCUAAGUGAUACAGA